UACUGAGUGGCAGACGGGUGGGUAACAUGUGGGAAUCUGCCUUGUGGUUCAGGACAACAUUGGGAAACCGAUGCUAAUACUGGAUAAGCCCUUACGGGGAAAGUUUUAAUGCCAUAAGAUGAGCCCGCAUUUGAUUAGUUAGUUGGUGAGGUAAUGGCUCACCAAGACAAUGAUCAAUAGCUGAUCUGAGAGGAUGAUCAGCCACACUGGGACUGAGACACGGCCCAGACUCCUACGGGAGGCAGCAGUGGGGAAUCUUGCACAAUGGAGGAAACUCUGAUGCAGCGAUGCCGCGUGAGUGAAGAAGGCCUUUGGGUUGUAAAGCUCUUUUGUAGGGGAAGAUAAUGACUGUACCCUAAGAAUAAGGUCCGGCUAACUUCGUGCCAGCAGCCGCGGUAAUACGAAGGGACCUAGCGUAGUUCGGAAUUACUGGGCGUAAAGCGCGCGUAGGCCGUUGAGUUAGUUAAUUGUGAAAUCCCAAAGCUUAACUUUGGAACUGCAAUUAAAACUGCUCGACU
This 518-nucleotide ribosomal RNA is filed under the name uncultured Rickettsiales bacterium. RNAcentral describes it as "bacterial SSU rRNA". It matches the Rfam family "Bacterial small subunit ribosomal RNA", at positions 89 to 642 of the family's 1533-position model. The record is from RNAcentral. Lineage: Bacteria; Pseudomonadati; Pseudomonadota; Alphaproteobacteria; Rickettsiales.